UACGGAGGGUGCAAGCGUUAUCCGGAUUUAUUGGGUUUAAAGGGUGCGUAGGCGGCUCUAUAAGUCAGUGGUGAAAUCAUCAGGCUCAACCUGAUACCUGCCAUUGAUACUGUAAAGCUUGAGUAUUAUCGACGCGGGAGGAAUGCGACAAGUAGCGGUGAAAUGCUUAGAUAUGUCGCAGAACACCAAUAGCGAAGGCAUCUCGCGAGGUAAUCACUGACGCUAAGGCACGAAAGCGUGGGUAGCAAACAGGAUUAGAUACCCUGGUAGUCCACGCCGUAAACGAUGAUAACUGGGUUUUUAAUGAAGAUCAUUAAGAGCCUGAGUGAAAGCAUUAAGUUAUCCACCUGGGGAGUACGUUCGCAAGUAUGAA
This 373-nucleotide ribosomal RNA is filed under the name uncultured bacterium. Its description in RNAcentral is "bacterial SSU rRNA". It matches the Rfam family "Bacterial small subunit ribosomal RNA", at positions 524 to 898 of the family's 1533-position model. The record is from RNAcentral.